GUCGAUAUGUCCGAGUGGUUAAGGAGAUAGACUUGAAAUCUAUCGGGCUACGCCCGCGCAGGUUCGAACCCUGCUGUCGACG
Molecule: non-coding RNA, 82 nt
Organism: Cynara cardunculus var. scolymus (artichoke)
Lineage: Eukaryota; Viridiplantae; Streptophyta; Magnoliopsida; Asterales; Asteraceae
Source: the annotation of a RefSeq genome assembly